AACGAACGCUGGCGGCAGGCUUAACACAUGCAAGUCGAGCGCCCCGCAAGGGGAGCGGCAGCCGGGUGAGUAACGCGUGGGAACGUACCUUUUGGUUCGGAACAACUCCGGGAAACUGGAGCUAAUACCGGAUAAGCCCUAACGGGGAAAGAUUUAUCGCCGAAAGAUCGGCCCGCGUCUGAUUAGCUAGUUGGUGAGGUAACGGCUCACCAAGGCGACGAUCAGUAGCUGGUCUGAGAGGAUGAUCAGCCACACUGGGACUGAGACACGGCCCAGACUCCUACGGGAGGCAGCAGUGGGGAAUAUUGGACAAUGGGCGCAAGCCUGAUCCAGCCAUGCCGCGUGAGUGAUGAAGGCCUUAGGGUUGUAAAGCUCUUUUGUCCGGGAAGAUAAUGACUGGACCGGAAGAAUAAGCCCCGGCUAACUUCGU
Molecule: ribosomal RNA, 430 nt
Filed under: uncultured bacterium
Lineage: Bacteria
Description: partial 16S ribosomal RNA
Rfam family: Bacterial small subunit ribosomal RNA
Source: RNAcentral